Molecule: long non-coding RNA, 618 nt
Filed under: Homo sapiens (human)
Lineage: Eukaryota; Metazoa; Chordata; Mammalia; Primates; Hominidae
Description: LHRI_LNC1234.1
Source: RNAcentral
GGGCUCUCUUCCCCCACAUGGAGCGCAGUGGCUCCGCGAGUGAUGGCUUUUUAUAGCCUGCACAGGUGGUUGUGCUGCAAGCCCCUUUCUGGAAGGCAGAGUGCUCUGCUCCUCACCCCUGCUGGGAGAAACCUGUUAAGAGAGAAGAGAAGCUCAAAUAAAUGACUUGCCUUCUCCUGGGAACUGAAAGUGCAUUGACAUUUUCAAGGUUUUCCUUACUGGAGAUCAGAUAUUGGACUGAAUCCAUUCUAACAGGUAAAUCACACAGCCAUGGAGGCACCCACAUCUUUGGCUCAGAUGAAGCUGCCAGAGUGACCCACUGGGUCCAGCGCAGAUGCCCUCAAUUCAAGAGAUGGGUCUGGAGCUGGGCAGGUGUGGAGGGGGGUCUGGUCCAAGACUAAGUCCCUGAAUCACCCCUGGGAAGAGAGCGGCCAGGCCUUCUGGAGCAAGGCUCGGAUGAUGCAAGCAGUGUGACUCCUGUGUCCUUGCAGAGCUGGGGCCUGGCCAGGCAGCAUGACCUUCUUUUCCAACUGAACGGCCACUCCUGAGUGUCUGUCUCACGGGCAGACAGCCUUUCUGCCUAGAGAAAAGCAUUUGGUCAGGGUCCAAACUGUGUCC